Long non-coding RNA from Drosophila miranda, 9202 nucleotides. RefSeq lists it as uncharacterized. The transcript has 4 exons. The record is from RefSeq and is a predicted model, not a curated record. Lineage: Eukaryota; Metazoa; Arthropoda; Insecta; Diptera; Drosophilidae.
CCCGUGUGUGGUGGCACGUAGGCGCAUCCAAAAGGAAAUGUCAGUCAGGGGACAAGCCCACUGCAGACCGUUCUAGGGCCUGCCUGGAAAUCCUUGGCCAAAACACGUGCACACACACACACACACACACAGCGGCGUAGGUGUGGUGGGUUUUCUUCAGUGGUGGGCUACAAAGCCACAAAAAGCACACACCACACCACACCGCAGCGCAGCGCAGCGCAGCAACAUGUUGACUGCAACAGCAGCUGCUUGGCUCGGCACAAAAAUUGCACACCAGAAAAAGAGAGAGGGCGAACCCCAGAGAGAGAGAGAGAGAGAGAGGGAGCAGCCGACUGCAAAAAUACAAGGCCUACAAAGCUGCCGAUGCCGCUGCUGCCGCUUUUGCCGCUUUUGCCGAGUGCCGGAGUCGAGUCGCGUCGCGGCGCGUCGAGUCGAGUGGCUUUUUUAGCCGCUAGUUUGCCAAUUGCGGCAUUCGCAUUUCGGCCUCUGUGCCGCACGGGUUGCCCCCACCAACAACAAAAAUAAAAAACCAAACAAGAAACAGUACUUGCAACAGGAAUCUCCCCCACCCCCCUCCACCCAAGAGAUUCUUUGGAGAAACGCGCAAAAAAAUUUAAAAAAAAACAUUUUCCACUAGCGACGGCAAAAAACAGUUUUGUUUUUUUUUUUAACAAACAGUGAAGCCCACAAACAAAAAACAACAACAGAUAAAAAAGAGAAGAAAAUUUGCUAAAUGAAAAACGAUUUUCCGCCAGUGGAAAAGCUCAGUGUGUGUGUUUGUGUUUGUUCGUACUGGUGCUGCGGCAUUUAUUUCUGGGAGGGGCAAAACGAGGCGGCAAACGAGGCGGCAGCAAGCGCGGCUCUACUGGCAGUCGAAACCAAAUGGAAGUCAGACAGAGAGCCGGAGGCAGGCAGCAGGCAGCAGGCGGCAGGCGGCAGGAAGACUGGAGGAAGGCAGGCACAAAGGCAACAUGUUGCACAUGCACUCGCCAAAAGCAAUUUGCAUACAAAUGUUGCCAAGGCACUUCACAGAGAAGGAGGGAGGGGGAGGGAGGGAUAGAGGAGUGCACUGCACAAUCACAAAUCGCGCUGCCAGAGAUGUGGCACGGCCCCUGCCUCCAAAGCGGAAGAGGGUAAAAGCCGCUUCAUAAUUUGAUAUUAAACAUGCACGCGCUUCUCCUUCUCUCUCUCUCUAUCCCCCUCUAUCCCCCUCUCUUUCGCUCAUAUGUAGAACUUGUAAAUUUGCAAAUUGCUAAAAUGCAUGACAGCAACAAAAGGAAGAGGGAAAUGCAGCAGCAGCAGCAGCCAAAGGGUUGGGGCAGCUGUUGCCUUGUGGCCGCCGCCAGGCACUGCGUGAAUUUGCAUUUACAUGAAGGAACGAAACGAAACGAAACGAAACGGAACCCCAGACUCAGACUCAAAGGAAGCAGCCUCAGAGCCAACCCCCUCCCCCCCAAAAAAAAACCAUGCCAUACCUCCAAAAACUCUGCUCAAUUGACUUUCAAUUGCAAAGCAAACACAGCAGCGGCAGCGGCAGCGGCAGAGGAGGAGGAGGAGGAGGAGGAGGUGGAGGAGAAGACAAAAGGCAACAAAACCAAAACCAAAACCAAACCCCUUUUUUCUCCCCGCUCUCUGACAAAUGAAUUUAUUUUCAAUCUGCCUUUUGUCCGUCCCCGUCGUAUGAUUGACAUGCUCGAUUGAUCCACAAUCCAUUGGGCGCGGGCCUUGCCGGGCAGAAGGGGUGGGGGGGGGGGGUCUUUUUUUUGGUGGCAAGUGUUUACGUUGGCUUUGCAGUUUUGUUAAUACUGCACUUGGGCUCCACGAUUUCGAGUGGCGGCGGAGAGACACCUCUUCAAAGCGAAAAAAAAACCUCUUUCUAUAUCGGAUUUACACGAAACACGCAAUUAGAAAUAUAUACAGGCACAUACUAUAUAUAUAUGUAUAUAUAUACAUAUGUAUAUAUGUGUAUAUGUAUGUGUGUAUUCUCUAUUAUAAAUCAUAUUUAUGAGACAUUUCCCCUGCGAAGGCGAAACAAACCCCCCAACAAAACAUCUGAAUGUUAAGUAGGCACGCAAUGUGAAAAGUCAGCCACGCAUGGCGGGGCAGAGAGAGAGGCAGAAUACCUCCUCAGUUUAGUUAGUAGCUCUCUACAUUCCAGGCACAAAGAUUUUCCCCCUCCCAUUAGCUUAUAAAACCUUUCUCUCGCAUUGAAUUCAUUGGAAUUGAGACUUAGUACAGCCCACCCCACCCCACCCCCCUUUUGUGGCUUAAUCACUCUUGGAACUAGCCAGUUUUCCGCGUAUUUUAGCCGAUUCAUGACGCUCUCCACGAAACAAUAAUCAAUAAGUAAAAAAAAAAAAACCAACAGGAAAGAAGAGCGAAAGCAAGAGUCACCCCGCUCUCUCUCUCUCUCACUCACUCUUACUCAACCACUGGUAUGUACGUGUGUGUGUGUGCCUGUUCCGUUUUCCGCUUUUUGUUGUUUUCUGGGUAGUUCAUAACUUUUCUCUCCCACAUGUCUGCGUCCUGGUCCUGGCCCUGUGGUGGUUCUCAGGACAGCCAUGUUUGUCCUUCACACACACAUGAUUGUAGGCGUCGCCGUGUGUGGCGGGCGGCACCCCAAAAAACAAAAAAAAAAACCACACACAGACAGGGGAGAAAAAAAAAAGAAGAAAACUGUGCCAAAAAGUUUCGAGGCAGCCCCAAAAGUUGUGGGGCUGCUGACACACAUCUUUCAGCGAAAGAUAAGGUGAAUGCGUGGCAAGUGUGAAUAUGAAUAUGAAUGCUGAAAACGCUGCCCCCCGCCCCAUAACCAAAUCAGGGCUAGGUUUCCACUGAUUUAUAGACAGAAAUAUCAUUGAAAUUCAUGGAUAAACCGUAGAAAUAUGUAUGUAUAUCUAGCCCAUGCUACAGGGCGUGGCAUGGGUGUAGGCCCAAAAAAAAAGAAGAUUUAUUUGAAUGAAACGAAGGGAAAAAUUAUAAUUUUUGAAGAAAAAAAAAACUGUUGAUGUGUCGUGGUGGGGGGUGGGGGGAACCUCUCCAUAAAUCUAUGGGCCCUGUCAAGGUGUACGUUCCGUGUGUGUGUGUGUGUGUGUGUGUGUGUGUGUGUGUGUGUUUGUGUGGCUCUCAAGUGGCAGUCAUAAAUUUGAAAUUUAUGUUCAUCUCUCUGUCCGUUGGCUUUUGGUCAAGAGAACCUGCCACAAAAGGCGGGUACACCGAGCCAAAGCAAGAACUUUGUUGCUUGUUAAUUAAAUGCCGAUUGCAUCAUCGCCUCUCUUUGUCAUCCAUCCGUCCGUCCGUCCCUCUCUUAUCUUCGCCUCUUCUUGUGUCCAUCGUCCCCAAGCUGUAGCUCCUCUCCUGCCUAUCAAUGCGCUAUGACUGCGCAGAAAUCGCUCUGUUGUUGUCGCUAAUCGUUGCUCAUGUACCGACAUGGACAUGCCGCAUUUGUCUUUGUCUUUGGUCUUUGACACAUUUUUCUUAUGAAUUUUCCUGUAUGUAUUUUUUUUUUUACUUUGAAAUACCCUGUACUUUGGAGGUAUAGAGAGAUAGAGCCAUGAAACAUGGCCCAAUUGUAUAAAGAUACAGUAUCUAACUGUGCACAAAAAUUUGCUAAAAUCGCAUAGGUUUUGACCAAAAAUCAUCACUUUCUAAUCAACGCUCAGCUCUUUUAUUUGCGAUUUAGAGCAUAUCUUUAAGACCGUUUAAGUAAGGGGUAUUUCUUAGGUCUUAUGGCCGCAAAUUAUUUGUAUCUUCUGCCCUUCCCAUGCCAUGUUUCAAUAUUUUCCUGUUCUGUUGCUUGUUGCGGCAUUUGUUGGACAUGUUUUUGUACUUUUCGAUCCGCUCGGGCUGGUACACACACGUUUUGUAUGCAGAUACAAUUCUGGGCUCAAACCGUUAAGCAUCUUCCCAUGCGAAUGGCUCAUUAAACCCCACACACACACACACACACACACACACACAGAGAGAGAGAGAAUGCAUGAAAAAAAGCACACAAAAAAAAUAAACCAAAAGUUGACCUUCAAAAAACGCACCGAAAUCAAAUGGCAACUCAACCAAGCGAAAAUCAGAGAGAGAGAGAGAGAGAGAGAAAAAAAUACAAAAAAAAAAAGCAUUAACAAAAGCAGAAGCAGAAGCAGAAGCUGCUUGGAAACAGGUUGUUGCCGUCCCUGUCUGACGCUUUUGUUGGCCGCCUUUUGUUAUUGUUAACGUUUUAUGAUGCCUUUUUUCAAGCGGAAAGCCACACAAAGCCCCAGCAGAGUCAAGAGCCUUUCGUAUGGCCCCAAAAUAAACACAAAUUUGAUACUCGAUUGCACUUUGCGAUUAUUUAUGAACAACGCGAUGCAUAAACAAGUUGCGGAAUGCCAAGGGAUCCAUCAGGUGCAGCACAGAUCCACUCACAGAUGCGGAGGGGGCGGGGGGUGCCCCCUCAUACCCUCAGAUCUUAGUAGGGUAUCAAAUAUUCAACAUUUUGGUAGAUUUUUGACCCUGCACGUGCCACAAAUCGCCAACGAAAGAGGGCAGGGCAGGGCAGCAGGCAAUCGUUGCGCGUUUUCAGGUACUAAUCACACGACAAGCUAUAAAAACAACGCCAAAUAUGUGUCGGUUGUCGCGCCAAAGUUCUAAUCAGAAACAGAAAUGGACAUUGGGGCGAAACGAUGACGAAUACGAAUACGAAACGAAUAGAAUUCAUUCCGUCUUAUCGAUGGAUGGUUCCCUCAGAGAUCUCCUCAAACGUGUAUAUUUCAAAGAUCUACUAUUAGGGCACGGGGGAGGGGGGGGAUGGUAAACUUGUAUUUCUCUUUGCUCUCGGAUUCUGUUUUCAGUUGCAUUUCCUUCUUUGUUCACUUUGAUUUCUGGUAUUUUCUGGUUCUAUUCUGUUCUCCUGUUUUUUUUUUCAUGCUCUUUCGCUGUUCUUCCUAUCCUGCUUUCAGUGUUGCCGAGAAUCUUGUUCUUUCCCUCCGUUUAUUGCUGCUUUUCGUCGCUUCUUUUUUGUGUUUCUUUUGCUCUUCUUCAAAAGACGGCCUUCAGUCGUCGUCUUACGGUAAAUACACAGCAAAGAACAACAACAAAAGCGCGCUUUACUAGAUAAAUACAAUACUAUCUGAGAGAUACAUCACGCCGUAAACAGAUCAUCGAACCUCGCUGCUCCGACGACGAGCAGGCGUUGUUGCUGUUUUGGCCUUGAAAUGAUCCGUUUUUUGUUGUUGUUGUUGUUUUUGUUUUUUGGUCAACUUUUUAAUUGUUUCAUUAAUUAAAAGCCACUUUUUUGUUUGUGAUAUUAAUUGAGUUGGCAACGCGGCAGCGGCAGCGGCAGCAGCAGCGGCGCCCACGCAGAGUGCAAGAGCGUCAGCAGAGCAGCGGGGCGGCAGAAACAGCUUUCACCGCUCGCUCUGCCGGGUGACAGGGCGACAAAGCCACAAAAACGACAAAACCCACCACCGAACGAAACCCACCACGGCCACAAGCACAAGAAACAACGGCCCAGCAACAUUUCCAGACACCAAGCGCCUCACCUCAGCGUGUUCGAUCAACAAUAUGCCAUGGAUGUUGCCAGGCCGCCGGCAACAUUCACGGCAUGUUGAGAAUCGGGGUGGAUUUCACCACCUUCGGAUGCGCUGCUGGCAUUGGCUGCCCCGCUUGGCCUGUGGCCCGGCAACAUGUUCGCCGGCAACAUGAGUCGGGCAGACCUGAAUGCAGUAGCCGACCGAAAUGUAUCUCCACACAUUGAGCGAUGUAUCUCACAAACUGAACUCGGCCGCGGAACCGUCAACAACAUCAGCUCGUCGAAUUUUCUUCUCAAUUCAAAAAAGUCCGUUGAAUUAGUCCGUUGAAUUAGCUCCAGCGCGCCGCUACUAGCGUUUAUAAACGCUCCGUGUGCUUCGCGUGACUUCAACACAAACAUUUCGUAAAUUGCAAAUUGUUUUAAAAUUUGCGCCUUCCUGUGCUAAAUGGAAAACAAUUUUCGUGUUCAAAAAAAAAAAAGCAAACAUAACGAAGGAAAAUUGAAAAAUCACAUGAAAUAAACUUUACGGAAAAUCGAAAAUAAAUAUUUUUUUUGUUUUUUCUAAAAUCAGUUUGAAAAGCCAAAGAAUACAAGAAAAUUAAAUAAUUUCCAUGGAAAUUUUUUUUAAAUAUUUUUUUUUGAAAAUGAAAUUUAUUUCAAUUCAAUAAAAUCGCGCAAAAAACGCGCUUACAACAAACAAACAAAUAAAAAGAAAAAAGGAAGAGAAUAAAAACCGCAGAGAAAACGCUGACAAGGCAGCAGACGGUGACAGCGGCGCAAACGAUCAUCAUCAACAAUCAUCUAGAGUUGCCCCGCGGCUAGAGUUCCCCCCGCGCCAGGCCCCGCUGCUGCCGAGAAGUCUCCCCGAAAACAACAAAACAACAAAAAAAAAGAGUUGGAAUUUUUGAAGCUGGUAUGUGGCGUGGUUUUUUUUUUAAAUAUUCUCUUCUUUUUUUUUUUGCUGUUUCUGCCGCGUUUCAAGUUUUUUUUGCGCGCCGUCCCUUUUGGGGGCGGGAGGAGAAGAUGUGUGUAUUUUUUUACCUGGUUUUUGCCAUCAGCGAGGUAUAGAGUUCCUACGUUCAUAUUAUAAACUCGUAGGAACUUCAUACCGUGCUCUUGGAAGACCAAAAGACAACGAAAAACAAACAAAAGGCGUUUUAAAACGCCUGCAAACGCUGCACUCAAAAAUUGAUAAAAGUGAAAGAGAAAUAUCCAUGUAUAUAUCCUAAAUGACUAAAUAAAGGCUAAAAAAAAUCCUUGAGAAUCGUUAAAAAUGUCCAAUCGGAGAUAUUUUUUUAUUUGUGAUAUUUUUUCAUCAAGUGCUGUUUAAAAAGCAGUAAAGACGCGCCAGAAACGCGUCGAACGGCCAAAAACGCGCCAGAAACGCGCGAGAAACGGUAGCCAACGUUGGGAAAUCUUUGUUGUUUUUUUUUUUUAUACAGAAAUUACGUGCCUCAGCAAUCGAAGAAGAAUUUUACAGCUAUCGUGUUCGACUUUUCCAAGAGAAUUGCCCUUUUUUUUACACAAAAAAAUAAAUAGCUGACCAAAAGCCAAGCAUCAGAUACAGAUACAUUACCCGAUAAGAUAUGGAAGCAUGGGGUUCCUGGGAAUGGGGACGGGGACGGGCCGAGGGGCCACGGAGCCACUUGAGGAGUAUUUGUCAUAAAUUAACGAAUGUUAAACGCUAAUCUUAACUAAAACAUCAAUUUCAAUUAAUUGCCACAAGUGCAGAUAGCGCUCGUAGCGUAUCUGUAUCUGUGUGUGUGUAUCUGUGUGUGCGUGUGUGUGUGUGUGUGUGUAUUUGAAACCCUAACCCUUGGACGGGCUCUGGUAAUUGGCCUCUCUCGAAUGGCAAAUGGCGAUUCCGAUUGGCUGAGGUUUUAAUUGGCAAAGUUAGAGGCUGGGAUAAUCGGUAGCUAAAUGAUUUAUCCACUAACAAGAUAUUCCAGAACUAACGUAAAUAUAUCUGGAAAUUACUGGCCAGAGUACGAUAUGUUUUUCAUCUUUCUGAAAGGCUCAAAAUAGGCUCAAAUAUUCCACAUUUUAGAGAGUACCUAAAAGUACCUGAAAAGAUCUGCUAAUUUCUAGAGUUUUUCGGACCAGUUUUGGUUAGAAAUGUAUCCCCAUGGAAGCAGGGAAAACCAUUCGAAAGAGCAUUCUUCUUAAAGCCGAAAGACCUUCAACUGUUGGGGCCUUUUUCGUGGAACAAUCUGACAUUCCGCAGACAAACGAAAGCCCGAAAACAACUGCCAGCUCGAUGCACACAACCUACUCGUACCUCCUCUAUAAUCAUCAUCAUCAUGGACAGCAGCCAGACCUUCCACAUCCCCCAAUUGUUGCAGGGGGAGGGGGGGGCACGGGCACGGGCACGCACGCACUCUGGACAAGAGAUAUCUGCAGCGAGGAGUAGAUAUGGAGACCCAUAUAGAUACAAUAUACUCGCGUACUGCCAUUGCAGAAAAUGCCAAACUGUGUGGAACCGAAACCAAUUCCGAGGUCUCUUCUCUCUCUCUCUAUCUCUCUCUCUCUCUCUCGCUCUGGAUGGGUGUUGUUGCGGCCGCGCCUGAUAGUAGAAGAAGUGCAUACAAUUUUUUAUUUCUUUGCUAUGGCCGAUAAGCGGAGGGCGAAUAUAAAAAAUAAUAACGCCUGACACACACCACAUCGCGCCACAAUGAUAAUUUUAUCAGCAGCUUCAGAGGAGAGCAGAGGGGAACAACAAAAAUUAAAUAUAUAUUUACUUUAUCGUGCGAAAUGGGGAGUGGAAUGGACUGGAAUGGAAUCGAAUGGAGCGCCGAGUGGAGUGGAGCGCCCAGUGGAGCGAAGGGUUUCCUUAUGGCACUACAAAUGUGCUGCAGACGAGCAUUGCCUCUUGUCAGUGGCCCAAACGGCCUGCCACAUGCGGGACAGCAUUUCAGUUGUUGGACUCCGACUGCCACUGCCACUUUUGCCACUGUUGCCUCUGUUGCAGUUAAUUUAAUUUCAGCUCAUAAAUCAAAACUGUGCCGCGCAAAAUGUUUGCUUUUGACGCGCUGUUUUUGUCGCCAGCCGAACAGAACAGACUCCCAGGCCACGGGGAAAAUGGACAACUGGAACUGACACUGUUGGCGGCAGCAGCAGCAGGGGCGUGGGGCAGGAGGAGUGGCAGACGACGAGGCCUGGAUGUUUGACAAACAAUGGCCAGAAAAUGUGGGGCCCCACAAUGUACAUUUUGGCCAAUUGCUGGGCAGGAAAUAAUAAUGUUAGGGAUUUGGUAAGACAAGAAAAACAAACGCAAAUCAACAGAGAAAGCGGAGGAGAAAUCCACUAAAGAAAACCUCUAACCUCCGAGACUUUCAAAGAAGAAACCAUCUCCAUGGCUACAGAUACAGAUACAACCUACAGAUAGAUGUCUAUAAUUCUACAACAAAAAAAUCAUCAUUAAAACACCAAGUGCGUUUUAAAACGCACUCAAAUCGCCCCAGAAACGCGUGGCAGACGCGCACAAACUGUUUGCGAUGCAAACAAAUAUUUCAAUUUUCAUUUUACCAACAAACACACACAAUAUUUGUAUUUAUUUAUUUAUUUUUUUCAUGGAAAUGUUAUGAAACACUUAUUUUAAGUUGUAAUUUAUAUUUAUAGAAAUAUAUGUAUUAUUUAUGGAAUACUUGUAUGUAUUUUUGCACAAAAACAAACAAAGCGAAAACUCUGAAUUGAAAAAUG